Molecule: ribosomal RNA, 302 nt
Filed under: uncultured bacterium
Lineage: Bacteria
Description: partial 16S ribosomal RNA
Rfam family: Bacterial small subunit ribosomal RNA
Source: RNAcentral
GCAGCAGCCGCGGUAAUACGAAGGGUGCAAGCGUUACUCGGAAUUACUGGGCGUAAAGCGUGCGUAGGUGGUUAUAUAAGACAGAUGUGAAAUCCCCGGGCUCAACCUGGGAACUGCAUUUGUGACUGUAUAGCUAGAGUACGGCAGAGGGGGAUGGAAUUCCGCGUGUAGCAGUGAAAUGCGUAGAUAUGCGGAGGAACACCGAUGGCGAAGGCAAUCCCCUGGGCCUGUACUGACGCUCAUGCACGAAAGCGUGGGGAGCAAACAGGAUUAGAUACCCCGGUAGUCCCUGUCUCUUAUAA